RNAcentral lists this non-coding RNA (25 nucleotides) under Rattus norvegicus (Norway rat). The record is from RNAcentral. Lineage: Eukaryota; Metazoa; Chordata; Mammalia; Rodentia; Muridae.
UGCAAGCCAUUCCUGCUCUUGGUUC